RNAcentral lists this non-coding RNA (87 nucleotides) under Oligella urethralis. RNAcentral describes it as "Glycine sequence". It matches the Rfam family "Glycine riboswitch aptamer". Rfam says of the family: This family represents the bacterial glycine riboswitch. Glycine riboswitches usually consist of two metabolite-binding aptamers domains with similar structures in tandem. The record is from RNAcentral. Lineage: Bacteria; Pseudomonadati; Pseudomonadota; Betaproteobacteria; Burkholderiales; Alcaligenaceae. RNAcentral also lists the same sequence under 1 other name.
AUGCUCUGUCGCAGGAGAGAGGUUUUCCACACCCGCCGAAGGCGCAAACUCCCAUAAACGCUCAGGCUCAUGUACUGCACAUCGCAA